RNAcentral lists this ribosomal RNA (406 nucleotides) under uncultured bacterium. Its description in RNAcentral is "partial 16S ribosomal RNA". It matches the Rfam family "Bacterial small subunit ribosomal RNA", at positions 30 to 526 of the family's 1533-position model. The record is from RNAcentral.
AUUGAACGCUGGCGGCAGGCCUAACACAUGCAAGUCGAACGAGUGGCGGACGGGUGAGUAAUGUCUGGGAAACUGCCUGAUGGAGGGGGCUAACUACUGGAACCGGUAGCUAAUACCGCAUACCAUCGGAUGUGCCCAGAUGGGAUAGGGUAGUAGGUGGGGUAAAGGCUCACCUAGGCGACGCUCCCUAGCUGGUCUGAGAGGAUGACCAGCCACAUGGGAACGGAGACACGGUCCAGACUCCUACGGGAGGCAGCAGUGGGGAAUAUCGCACAAUGGGCGCAAGCCUGAUGCAGCCAUGCCGCGUGUAUGAAGAAGGCUUUCGGGUGGUAAAGUACUUUCAGCGGGGAGGCGUUACCCGCAGAAGAAGCACCGGCUAACUCCGUGCCAGCAGCCGCGGUAAUUC